This 480-nucleotide ribosomal RNA is filed under the name uncultured bacterium. RNAcentral's name for it is "partial 16S ribosomal RNA". It matches the Rfam family "Bacterial small subunit ribosomal RNA", at positions 28 to 523 of the family's 1533-position model. The record is from RNAcentral.
GAUGAACGCUGGCGGCGUGCCUAACACAUGCAAGUCGAGCGAUGAAGUUUCCUUCGGGAAACGGAUUAGCGGCGGACGGGUGAGUAACACGUGGGUAACAUGCCUCAUAAUGGGGGAUAGCCUUUCGAAAGGAAGAUUAAUACCGCAUAACAUCAUUAAAUGGCAUCAUUUAAUGAUCAAAGGAUUUAUUCGUUAUGAGAUGGACCCGCGUCGCAUUAGCUAGUUGGUAAGGUAAUGGCUUACCAAGGCGACGAUGCGUAGCCGACCUGAGAGGGUUAUCGGCCACAUUGGGACUGAGACACGGCCCAGACUCCUACGGGAGGCAGCAGUGGGGAAUAUUGCACAAUGGGGGAAACCCUGAUGCAGCAACGCCGCGUGAGUGAUGACGGUCUUCGGAUUGUAAAGCUCUGUCUUUGGGGACGAUAAUGACGGUACCCAAGGAGGAAGCCACGGCUAACUACGUGCCAGCAGCCGCCGUAA